AUCUUUUUAGUAUAAAUAAAUAUAUUUGACUUCCAAUCAAAAGAUCUUAAAUUAAGAAAAGAUA
This 64-nucleotide transfer RNA is filed under the name Adrisa magna. RNAcentral describes it as "tRNA-Gly". It matches the Rfam family "tRNA". Rfam says of the family: Transfer RNA (tRNA) molecules are approximately 80 nucleotides in length. Lineage: Eukaryota; Metazoa; Arthropoda; Insecta; Hemiptera; Cydnidae. The record is from RNAcentral.